RNAcentral lists this ribosomal RNA (253 nucleotides) under uncultured bacterium. RNAcentral describes it as "partial 16S ribosomal RNA". It matches the Rfam family "Bacterial small subunit ribosomal RNA", at positions 524 to 776 of the family's 1533-position model. The record is from RNAcentral.
UACAGAGGUCUCAAGCGUUGUUCGGAUUCAUUGGGCGUAAAGGGUUCGUAGGUGGCGAGGCAAGUCGGAUGUGAAAUCCCGGGGCUUAACCCCGGAACUGCAUUCGAUACUGCCUUGCUCGAGUACUGGAGAGGAGACUGGAAUUUACGGUGUAGCAGUGAAAUGCGUAGAUAUCGUAAGGAAGACCAGUGGCGAAGGCGAGUCUCUGGACAGUUACUGACACUGAGGCACGAAGGCCAGGGGAGCAAACGGG